UUUCCGUAGGUGAACCUGCGGAAGGAUCAUUAACACGUUUCAUCACGUAUUAAUUCAUUACCCCUCUGUGAACCUUGAACUCUUCUAAAAACUUCAAAAUCCUAUAUCGCGGGGCGUUGCUUGCAGCGCCUUGAGUGUUAGGUCGCCGCGGAUUCAUUUUCGUGGCGUUAACCCAACCAAACCCUUGAACCUUUUACAUCUGAAACCAUUUUUUUCCUGCCAUUCGUUGGCGUGCGAAAAAUAAAACACAAAAACAACUCUUAACAACGGAUAUCUUGGUUCUC
This 284-nucleotide unclassified non-coding RNA is filed under the name soil metagenome. Its description in RNAcentral is "partial contains small subunit ribosomal RNA, internal transcribed spacer 1, and 5.8S ribosomal RNA". The record is from RNAcentral.